This is a long non-coding RNA of Sceloporus undulatus (fence lizard), 295 nucleotides long. RefSeq lists it as uncharacterized. NCBI's taxonomy places the organism in Eukaryota, Metazoa, Chordata, Lepidosauria, Squamata, Phrynosomatidae. The transcript has 3 exons. The record is from RefSeq and is a predicted model, not a curated record.
AUCAGCCCCAGAAUGGCACUUUUUGCCCAUCUGUAUUGGGCCUUAGUCUCCAGUUUGCUACAAACAAUUGCCUCUGCCCUUUGCUGUGACUGACUGACUGGUAUUGUGUGAUUCUUAGACUGGACUCUGGAGUACUCCUUUGCAUAUUCCCCUGCUAUGCUGCCCUCAGUAAAGAUGUCGAUCUCUUGAGAGACACAAGAUAAUAAUAAAAAAGAGACAGAUGCAUUAUGCAACUUGCAUCGUAUAGAACAGCAGUGAGAAACUAGGACCCAGAACAAUGGAUGCAAGCUCCAGG